RNAcentral lists this ribosomal RNA (449 nucleotides) under uncultured bacterium. RNAcentral describes it as "partial 16S ribosomal RNA". It matches the Rfam family "Bacterial small subunit ribosomal RNA", at positions 29 to 523 of the family's 1533-position model. The record is from RNAcentral.
AACGAACGCUGGCGGCAUGCCUAACACAUGCAAGUCGAACGAGAUCUUCGGGUCUAGUGGCGCACGGGUGCGUAACGCGUGGGAAUCUGCCCUUUGGUUCGGAAUAACAGUUGGAAACGACUGCUAACACCGGAUGAUGACGAAAGUCCAAAGAUUUAUCGCCAGAGGAUGAGCCCGCGUAGGAUUAGCUAGUUGGUGUAGUAAAGGCGCACCAAGGCGACGAUCCUUAGCUGGUCUGAGAGGAUGAGCAGCCACACGGGGACUGAGACACGGCCCAGACUCCUACGGGAGGCAGCAGUGGAGAAUAUUGGACAAUGGGCGAAAGCCUGAUCCAGCAAUGCCGCGUGAGUGAUGAAGGCAUUAGGGUUGUAAAGCUCUUUUACCCGGGAUGAUAAUGACAGUACCGGGAGAAUAAGCUCCGGCUAACUCCGUGCCAGCAGCCGCCGCAG